GACGAACGCUGGCGGCGUGCUUAACACAUGCAAGUCGAGCGAGAAAGCUCCUUCGGGAGUGAGUACAGCGGCGAACGGGUGAGUAACACGUGGGCAACCUGCCCUAGGGAGCGGGACAACCCGAGGAAACUCGGGCUAAUACCGCAUGAUUCGUCGUGCCUCAAGGCGCGACGGGAAAUGGUAGCUUCGGCCUCCGCCCUGGGAUGGGCCCGCGCCGCAUUAGCUUGUUGGUGAGGAACGGCUCACCAAGGCAACGAUGCGUAGCUGGUCUGAGAGGACGAUCGGCCACACUGGGACUGAGACACGGCCCAGACUCCUACGGGAGGCGGCAGUGGGGAAUCUUGCGCAAUGGGCGGAAGCCUGACGCAGCAACGCCGCGUGAGGGAAGACGGCCUGUGU
Molecule: ribosomal RNA, 399 nt
Filed under: uncultured bacterium
Lineage: Bacteria
Description: bacterial SSU rRNA
Rfam family: Bacterial small subunit ribosomal RNA
Source: RNAcentral